This 159-nucleotide ribosomal RNA is filed under the name Mycosphaerellaceae sp. RNAcentral describes it as "partial large subunit ribosomal RNA". It matches the Rfam family "Eukaryotic large subunit ribosomal RNA", at positions 99 to 261 of the family's 3401-position model. The record is from RNAcentral. Lineage: Eukaryota; Fungi; Ascomycota; Dothideomycetes; Mycosphaerellales; Mycosphaerellaceae.
CGGCAACAGCUCAAAUUUGAAAUCUGGCGCAAGCCCGAGUUGUAAUUUGUAGAGGAUGCUUCUGGGCAGCGGCCGUUCUAAGUUCCUUGGAACAGGACGUCAUAGAGGGUGAGAAUCCCGUAUGUGACCGGCGCGCACCCUCCACGUAGCUCCUUCGAC